UGCUGGCUUUAGAGCUAGGGGCAUCUGGUAUCUAAGCCUGGCUCUUUCACUCACCAGCUGGGUGACCUCUGGACGGAUUGCUUUAUCUCUCUAAGUUUGUUUCCUCAUCUGUCAACUCGAGAAGACUGUUGCAAGAAUCAAAUAAGAUGAAUUGUGUAAGUCAUUUAUACAGUGCCUGCACAGAAAAAGCACUCAGUAAGAGUUAGCCCCAGUCAUUCUGCUGGUGGCGGUCAUUAUUAUUACCCCUUCAUGUUCCCUGGAGAUCAUGACCAAAUGGGAUGCUGUUAGUGAGCAGAACUCCCUAAGAGCGUGAAGGGAAUUACAGAGGAGUCUAUUCCAUCCCCCUGCCUCCAAGAUCAGCUAUUCCUGAGGUUUCUUGGGUUUCAGAAGCCCCAGAGUCCAAAUGCUGAGUUCCAAGUUGAUGUGGUAGACUCAAAGGGAAGUUUGAAAGUGCAAUUACCAAAAGAAAUAACAAUUGAAGGGAACUUCCAAAGGUCUGGGGAGCAGAGAAUCAAGAUACUGGAGUACUGGAUACCCCAAUAGUAUCUGGAUUCCCUUGACAACAGGUGGAGGCUCUCCUGGAACAGAACUGGGUUGAGCAGCCCCAUGAUGUGGGCUGUGACCCUGAAGCACGAAUUCUCUGUGCCCUUAUGUUGCUGCCUCCAUCCUGCUGCAGUUGGGUGAGAAGCCUGGCUUUGUGUCCUCCUAACUGUAUGUUAGCUCUUUAACCGUUCUCCCCACAAGCCUCUGGGUACUCUCCUCCCUAGUCCUUCCUCACCUGUACCCCCCAUCACCAGAACAAU
Molecule: long non-coding RNA, 803 nt
Organism: Manis pentadactyla (Chinese pangolin)
Lineage: Eukaryota; Metazoa; Chordata; Mammalia; Pholidota; Manidae
Exons: 3
Source: RefSeq, a predicted model, not a curated record